This 256-nucleotide unclassified non-coding RNA is filed under the name Hevea brasiliensis (rubber tree). Lineage: Eukaryota; Viridiplantae; Streptophyta; Magnoliopsida; Malpighiales; Euphorbiaceae. The record is from RNAcentral.
ACUCCGGCAACGGUCAUUCCAGAGCUUUGUAUUUACAGGAUUCUGCUGUAAAGUAUAGUGGCGUCUGGCCAUGGGAACUGAAGAGCCAAAAGAUCCAUUCAAGGGGGUUGACUGGAAAGCCAUAGGCGGUGAAUUGCAGAAGGACCCUAGUGCUGGUGCUAAACCAGUCAUAAAGAAACGGUUACCAAAAAAGAUUAGACAAAUUCCAGAUUACUAUUUCCUUCCUCGAAGAUCUCUACCCUCUGCAAUUGCAUUC